Molecule: ribosomal RNA, 492 nt
Filed under: uncultured bacterium
Lineage: Bacteria
Description: partial 16S ribosomal RNA
Rfam family: Bacterial small subunit ribosomal RNA
Source: RNAcentral
AGUGAACGCUGGCGGUAGGCCUAACACAUGCAAGUCGAACGGCAGCACAGUAAGAGCUUGCUCUUACGGGUGGCGAGUGGCGGACGGGUGAGGAAUACAUCGGAAUCUACUUUUUCGUGGGGGAUAACGUAGGGAAACUUACGCUAAUACCGCAUACGACCUACGGGUGAAAGCAGGGGAUCUUCGGACCUUGCGCGAUUGAAUGAGCCGAUGUCGGAUUAGUUAGUUGGCGGGGUAAAGGCCCACCAAGGCGACGAUCCGUAGCUGGUCUGAGAGGAUGAUCAGCCACACUGGAACUGAGACACGGUCCAGACUCCUACGGGAGGCAGCAGGGGGGAAUAUUGGACAAUGGGCGCAGGCCUGAUCCAGCCAGACCGCGUGGGUGAAGAAGGCCGUCGGGUGGUAAAGCCCUUUUGUUGGGAAAGAAAAGCAGCAGGUUAAUACCCCGCUGUUCUGACGGUACCCAAAGAAUAAGCACCGGCUAACUUCGUG